RNAcentral lists this long non-coding RNA (338 nucleotides) under Zostera marina. RNAcentral describes it as "long non-coding RNA (ZMAR_LNC006104)". Lineage: Eukaryota; Viridiplantae; Streptophyta; Magnoliopsida; Alismatales; Zosteraceae. The record is from RNAcentral.
CUGAAGGAGAUUUGCUUCUCAACCAUGCUUUCUUUGUGGAAUCUGGAGAUCUGGAGACAUUGUUACCCUACACCACUAAAGAACUUAUAGAAGCUAAACCUGGAUCAUUCGUUGGAGCUCUUACCAUGGAUGCUGGAGCUCUUGAAUGUAUUGAAGAUAAACCUUGUUAGCGUUGAUUUUUGGAAGGAAAGUAGGAAAGCAUCAUCCAUCGUGCGGUCGAGAUUCAAUCGCCCUUAUAAUAUAAUAAUCAUUAAUCACUAAUCAAUAUGAUUAAUUAUAAUUACUACUAAUAUCCGGCUUGAUCAUUUAUUUCAUUGUUUGCUGUUGCUUAUUGGUUG